AGACUCCUAAAUAAAGCAUUUCCCCUGUGUGGGCGACCCCUGGGUCCCAUGUGGGGUCAGUGUUUGGGUCUCUCUGAGAGGAUCAGGAAGGCUGCUCUUCCAGGAAGAGCUGCAGGGACCCUGGGAACCGGACCAGUCCAGCUCACAAGUAUGAAGAGAAUGUCGGGAGAGGAAGUGGUGGCUAUGAGUCAGCAUGAGUCAUCUCGUUCCAAUGAGAAUGAAGGCUGAGGUGUGCGCCUUUUUUUUUUUUUCCUUCUUAGUCGUGUGUACAUCAUUGGGAAUGGAGGGAAAUAAAUGACUGGAUGGUCGCUGCUUUUUGAGUUUCAAAUUGACAUUCUAGACAAGCGGUGCCUGAGCCCGUGCCUGUCUUCAGAUCUUCACAGCACAGUUCCUGGGAAGGUGGAGCCACCAGCCUCUCCCUGAAUAACUGGGAGAUGAAACAGGAAGCUCUAUGACACACUUGAUCGAAUAUGACAGACACCGAAAAUCACGACUCAGCCCCCUCCAGCACCUCUACCUGUUGCCCGCCGAUCACAGCCGGAAUGCAGCUGAAAGAUUCCCUGGGGCCUGGUUCCAACCGCCCACUGUGGACUCUGAGGCCUCUGCAUUUGCGGGUGGUCUGCCUGUGAUAUUUUGGUCAUGGGCUGGUCUGGUCGGUUUCCCAUUUGUCUGGCCAGUCUCUAUGUGUCUUAAUCCCUUGUCCUUCAUUAAAAGCAAAACUAAAGAAAACAGAA
Molecule: long non-coding RNA, 734 nt
Organism: Pan troglodytes (chimpanzee)
Lineage: Eukaryota; Metazoa; Chordata; Mammalia; Primates; Hominidae
Exons: 2
Source: RefSeq, a predicted model, not a curated record